This 468-nucleotide ribosomal RNA is filed under the name uncultured bacterium. Its description in RNAcentral is "partial 16S ribosomal RNA". It matches the Rfam family "Bacterial small subunit ribosomal RNA", at positions 28 to 507 of the family's 1533-position model. The record is from RNAcentral.
GACGAACGCUGGCGGCGUGCUUAACACAUGCAAGUCGAACGGAAAGGCCCUGCUUUUGUGGGGUGCUCGAGUGGCGAACGGGUGAGUAACACGUGAGUAACCUGCCCUUGACUUUGGGAUAACUUCAGGAAACUGGGGCUAAUACCGGAUAGGAGCUCCUGCUGCAUGGUGGGGGUUGGAAAGUUUCGGCGGUUGGGGAUGGACUCGCGGCUUAUCAGCUUGUUGGUGGGGUAGUGGCUUACCAAGGCUUUGACGGGUAGCCGGCCUGAGUGGGUGACCGGCCUCAUUGGGACUGAGAUACGGCCCAGACUCCUACGGGAGGCAGCAGUGGGGAAUAUUGCACAAUGGGCGGAAGCCUGAUGCAGCAACGCCGCGUGCGGGAUGACGGCCUUCGGGUUGUAAACCGCUUUCGCCUGUGACGAAGCGUGAGUGACGGUAAUGGGUAAAGAAGCACCGGCUAACUACGUG